CCCCGAGGAAAAGAAAUCAACCGAGAUUCCCCCAGUAGCGGCGAGCGAACGGGGAGCAGCCCAGAGCCUGAAUCAGUAUGUGUGUUAGUGGAAGCGUCUGGAAAGGCGCGCGAUACAGGGUGACAGCCCCGUACACAAAAAUGCACAUGCUGUGAGCUCGAUGAGUAGGGCGGGACACGUGGUAUCCUGUCUGAAUAUGGGGGGACCAUCCUCCAAGGCUAAAUACUCCUGACUGACCGAUAGUGAACCAGUACCGUGAGGGAAAGGCGAAAAGAACCCCGGCGAGGGGAGUGAAAAAGAACCUGAAACCGUGUACGUACAAGCAGUGGGAGCACGCUUAGGCGUGUGACUGCGUACCUUUUGUAUAAUGGGUCAGCGACUUAUAUUCUGUAGCAAGGUUAACCGAAUAGGGGAGCCGAAGGGAAACCGAGUCUUAACUGGGCGUUAAGUUGCAGGGUAUAGACCCGAAACCCGGUGAUCUAGCCAUGGGCAGGUUGAAGGUUGGGUAACACUAACUGGAGGACCGAACCGACUAAUGUUGAAAAAUUAGCGGAUGACUUGUGGCUGGGGGUGAAAGGCCAAUCAAACCGGGAGAUAGCUGGUUCUCCCCGAAAGCUAUUUAGGUAGCGCCUCGUGAAUUCAUCUCCGGGGGUAGAGCACUGUUUCGGCAAGGGGGUCAUCCCGACUUACCAACCCGAUGCAAACUGCGAAUACCGGAGAAUGUUAUCACGGGAGACACACGGCGGGUGCUAACGUCCGUCGUGAAGAGGGAAACAACCCAGACCGCCAGCUAAGGUCCCAAAGUCAUGGUUAAGUGGGAAACGAUGUGGGAAGGCCCAGACAGCCAGGAUGUUGGCUUAGAAGCAGCCAUCAUUUAAAGAAAGCGUAAUAGCUCACUGGUCGAGUCGGCCUGCGCGGAAGAUGUAACGGGGCUAAACCAUGCAC
This 945-nucleotide ribosomal RNA is filed under the name Escherichia coli. RNAcentral's name for it is "partial 23S ribosomal RNA". It matches the Rfam family "Bacterial large subunit ribosomal RNA", at positions 209 to 1194 of the family's 2925-position model. The record is from RNAcentral. Lineage: Bacteria; Pseudomonadati; Pseudomonadota; Gammaproteobacteria; Enterobacterales; Enterobacteriaceae.